Molecule: ribosomal RNA, 460 nt
Filed under: uncultured bacterium
Lineage: Bacteria
Description: partial 16S ribosomal RNA
Rfam family: Bacterial small subunit ribosomal RNA
Source: RNAcentral
CCUACGGGAGGCAGCAGUGAGGAAUAUUGGUCAAUGGGCGGGAGCCUGAACCAGCCAAGUCGCGUGAGGGAAGACGGUCCUAUGGAUUGUAAACCUCUUUAGGCGGGGAGCAAUGCCGGGCACGUGUGCCCGGAGGGAGAGUACCCGCAGAAUAAGCAUCGGCUAACUCCGUGCCAGCAGCCGCGGUAAUACGGAGGAUGCGAGCGUUAUCCGGAUUUAUUGGGUUUAAAGGGUGCGUAGGCGGAUUUUUAAGUCAGCGGUAAAAUGUCCGGGCUCAACCCGGGCCGGCCGUUGAAACUGGGGAUGUUGAGUGGGCGAGAAGUAUGCGGAAUGCGUGGUGUAGCGGUGAAAGGCAUAGAUAUCACGCAGAACUCCGAUUGAGAAGGCAGCAUACCGGCGCGCAACUGACGCUCAUGCACGAAAGCGUGGGUAUCGAACAGGAUUAGAUACCCCUGUAGUC